AGAUUGAACGCUGGCGGCAUGCCUAACACAUGCAGGUCGAACGGGAGUAGCAAUACUCUAGUGGCGGACGGGUGAGGAAUACGUAGGAAUUUGCCCUUAAGUGGGGGAUAACCCGGGGAAACCCGGAUUAAUACCGCAUGACCUCGAAAGAGCAAAGUGGGGGAUCGCAAGACCUCACGCUUUUGGAGAAGCCUACGUCGGAUUAGCUAGUUGGUGAGGUAAUGGCUCACCAAGGCGACGAUCCGUAACUGGUCUGAGAGGAUGAUCAGUCACACCGGACUGAGACACGGUCCGGACUCCGUACGGGAGGCAGCAGGUGGGGAAUACGUAGGACAAGUGGGCGCAAGCCUGAUCCGAGCAAGUCGCCGCGUGUGUAGGAAGUAACGG
Molecule: ribosomal RNA, 387 nt
Filed under: uncultured soil bacterium
Lineage: Bacteria
Description: bacterial SSU rRNA
Rfam family: Bacterial small subunit ribosomal RNA
Source: RNAcentral